This 267-nucleotide long non-coding RNA is filed under the name Elaeis guineensis (African oil palm). RNAcentral describes it as "long non-coding RNA (EGUI_LNC053009)". Lineage: Eukaryota; Viridiplantae; Streptophyta; Magnoliopsida; Arecales; Arecaceae. The record is from RNAcentral.
AAUGGAGCCAUUUUCUUUGAUUCUUUGCCUCAUUUAUCUCAAAAUCGACACAAUGUGAAAUACCAAAUUUAUCAAAAACAAGAUCAUUCUGUCGAUAAAUGCUGAUUUCAUUUGGCUAUAAGUCAUAACAAUUAUCCCAAAAGUCUUCAUCAAGCUUUUGCAGGUCUACAAUUAGCACCUCCAUCAACUCAAGCACAAGUGACCAUUCCUUCAAAUAUACAAUGGAUUUCAGAUUCUGCUACUUCUCACAUGACCUUCAACCCAGCG